GUGAAGGAUAACGUUGCGUCAGCAACGGCCCGUAGGGCGAGGCGAAGCCGAGUCAUCCUGCACGACCCACCG
Molecule: small RNA, 72 nt
Filed under: Salmonella enterica subsp. enterica serovar London
Lineage: Bacteria; Pseudomonadati; Pseudomonadota; Gammaproteobacteria; Enterobacterales; Enterobacteriaceae
Also listed under: 1 other name
Description: partial RtT sRNA
Rfam family: RtT RNA
About the family: This family represents a bacterial cis-regulatory element known as RtT RNA. The exact function of RtT is unknown although it is thought that it may be involved in changing the cellular response in relation to amino acid starvation.
Source: RNAcentral